ACCCGCUGAACUUAAGCAUAUCAAUAAGCGGAGGAAAAGAAACCAACAGGGAUUGCCCUAGUAACGGCGAGUGAAGCGGCAACAGCUCAAAUUUGAAAUCUGGCUCUUUUAGAGUCCGAGUUGUAAUUUGCAGAGGGCGCUUUGGCUUUGGCAGCGGUCCAAGUUCCUUGGAACAGGACGUCACAGAGGGUGAGAAUCCCGUACGUGGUCGCUGGCUAUUGCCGUGUAAAGCCCCUUCGACGAGUCGAGUUGUUUGGGAAUGCAGCUCUAAAUGGGAGGUACAUUUCUUCUAAAGCUAAAUAUUGGCCAGAGACCGAUAGCGCACAAGUAGAGUGAUCGAAAGAUGAAAAGCACUUUGGAAAGAGAGUCAAACAGCACGUGAAAUUGUUGAAAGGGAAGCGCUUGCAGCCAGACUUGCUUACAGUUGCUCAUCCGGGUUUCUACCCGGUGCACUCUUCUGUAGGCAGGCCAGCAUCAGUUUGGGCGGUAGGAUAAAGGUCUCUGUCACGUACCUCCUUUCGGGGAGGCCUUAUAGGGGAGACGACAUACUACCAGCCUGGACUGAGGUCCGCGCAUCUGCUAGGAUGCUGGCGUAAUGGCUGUAAGCGGCCCGUCUUGAAACACGGACCAAGGAG
This 635-nucleotide ribosomal RNA is filed under the name uncultured fungus. RNAcentral describes it as "eukaryotic LSU rRNA". It matches the Rfam family "Eukaryotic large subunit ribosomal RNA", at positions 23 to 673 of the family's 3401-position model. Lineage: Eukaryota; Fungi. The record is from RNAcentral.